UACGGAGGGUGCGAGCGUUGUCCGGAAUCACUGGGCGUAAAGGGCGCGUAGGCGGCGCGGUAAGCGUGCGGUGAAAGCCCGGGGCUCAACCUCGAGCCUGCAGUCGAUACGGGCAGACUAGAGUGCUGUAGGGGAGACUGGAAUUCCUGGUGUAGCGGUGAAAUGCGCAGAUAUCAGGAGGAACACCGGUGGCGAAGGCGGGUCUCUGGGCCGAUACUGACGCUGAGGCACGAAAGCCAGGGGAGCAAACGGG
Molecule: ribosomal RNA, 253 nt
Filed under: uncultured bacterium
Lineage: Bacteria
Description: partial 16S ribosomal RNA
Rfam family: Bacterial small subunit ribosomal RNA
Source: RNAcentral